GAACCCAUUCACAGGAUGGUAAUCCUCUGACAUCCUGAGAAUCCAUUGAAGUACUGGAAGGCUAUUAACUAAAGCCUUCCAGCAUGGUGGGAAGAUACAUGAAAUCCGAGAGCCUCCAGGAGCAUUAUUCAUGCUUUCGAAGAAUGACAUAGAUCAGACAUUAAUCCAGGCAACUCCUUCUGUAAUCUCGUGGAUUACAACAGCAUUCCUUACUUAUGAUUUAGUUCAGCUGAAGAUGACUCCGGAAAGAGUUUUCCUUUCUUCAGAGCUCAUGAGGGUGUUUCAGAGGUGAGGUCAUCAUAUGGACGAGUCACAGCUAGAGGAGAUCCACCUUGUCCCACAUUCAAGCGCUCAUCAACCUGGCGGGAGUCUAAAUGAUCAGGGUGUUAAAACUAUUCCAUGGUGCUUGUUUUCCAGCUGUUAUGUUGUUCAAGAUUGGUGGUAAGAGUUGGGUU
Molecule: long non-coding RNA, 455 nt
Filed under: Pogona vitticeps (central bearded dragon)
Lineage: Eukaryota; Metazoa; Chordata; Lepidosauria; Squamata; Agamidae
Description: lncRNA (ENSPVIG00000005556.1)
Source: RNAcentral